GCCAACCACCCCAAAUCUUUUCUUCGAUGAGCUCCCUGGCUCCAUUUCUGGCCUUGGUGGUAAGUUUUGGCUCGGUUUCACACUCCUACCACCUUCUUUACCAGUAUCCAACCUGCAAGGAGUCACAGGUUGCACGGAUUUCGAGAUCACAUGUGGAACAACCGCCAUCUCAUUCUCGGUAGGAGUGUUUGAAUCAUUGUCCGACUUGGGGAUAUCUGACGCGUUGUUGUGCUCUGUUACCGUCUCUAUCAUUGAAUUUGGCUCCUCGUCCAAGGCAGAACCUGACUCCCCUCGUGUUAAGUCGAUAUUCUCAGGC
Molecule: unclassified non-coding RNA, 316 nt
Filed under: Hevea brasiliensis (rubber tree)
Lineage: Eukaryota; Viridiplantae; Streptophyta; Magnoliopsida; Malpighiales; Euphorbiaceae
Source: RNAcentral